UUCUGCGGCAUCCCGGUGGAGGGUCGAGAAGACAAACACCGGCUGGACCACCCUUCCUCGGCGAUUGGUUCCGUCUUGUUUGCUCCUGCCGCCACUCCUACCGAGAGACGAGAGAGAUCCCUCGGCAUCGCGGGACGAGAUCUCGACGUAGUCGAUCGCGCACCCAGCCGUAAGCUAUGAUUUUGUCUUAUUUCCGUGUUAUACCCCGCGCAAGGUGAGAAAGUGCGACGGCCGACGCACCGCGAGUCGAAACAGGCAUGUCGACGGAUAGUAAGCGAAGCAAACGCUCCUCGUGGCACUCGAAGGUGGAAACAAAAACGUUUGUCUUUGUUCUCCAAAAGAGCGCGACCGAUAAUCUCAAUAUUUACACUAAUCUGGCACACAGAGAUGGUUCUCGAUGAAUUUUAUAUUGGGGGAAUCUAGGAGAGUUUACUAAGGUUUUAAAGCUCCUGCGGAACACUGGGUUGACGCCAGAAACGAGACAUGCAUCCGAAAAAUUCUUGCGUGCCAUUUUCAAAUAAAAAGAUACUUGUAUGUAAGAACACUUCAGAUCGCUUGAGCAUACUUGCAAAAUGCUUCGGAAACUAUCCUUUUCUCUUAACAGCCAAUAAACAGUCUUAAAAUUAACGUGGAAAGGUAGGUUAAAGAGGAAGGUUGCAUGUGUUAAUUUUAAGAUUAUUUAUUGACUGUCAACAAAAAAUAAUAGUUCUCGGAGUAUUUUAUAAGUAUUCUCAUACAAACAUGUUUUUAUUUGAAAAUAGCACAUAAGAAUUUUCGGCAUGCGCUUUUUCAUUUCUGACGUCAUUAAUCCAGAGUUCCACAGCAGUGGCCUUAACUCUUUCGCAUCAGAAGCUUUAACUCUAGAAGAGUCAAUUAGGGAAAAGUCUAAAGGAGUCACCCGGAAUAGUUGUCACAAAGCUUAUAUCUCACGUAAUAAAUGGUGUAUAUUCUUCUUUAUGGUAUAGAUUGCUUGUAUUGUGUUUGUUGGAUAUGCAAAAUGGCUUAUGACAAAAACAUGACAUACAGUAUUUACAAGAAUUUUUCAAAAUUGUGAAUUUUGUGAAUGAAUUUUUUCUUGUUUCCAUUUUUAUUCAUCCGUUAGCUUUGGAAUUCUUGGUCGCAAUUUCUCUUUAGUUGAAUGAAUAUUAUGUAAUUUAGUUGAAGAAAUGUUAUGGGUCUAACGCUAAUUUUUUCUGCAUUUAGUUAACAGUUACUACAAGAUAAUCGAUAAGUAUAAUCUCCUUUAUUCCAAAUGAUUAUUCGGGUUAAGUUGACCCAAAGUGAAAUUAGUGGUCCCACUAAUCAUUUAGUUUCACUUAGUUUUACUAUCCACUGGUAGUCGUUGUGGGUUUAUCACUGUGACGUUGUUUAUACAAGAGUAUGAAAGCAUACGCAAUGAUAUGUUGUACAUAUUAUAACAUUGAAUCCACAUAUAAGGUCCUACAGCUUAAAGUUAUUGUUAUAAAGUUUGUGAGAUUUACUAUCUUCUUUUAAUUCAAUAGUUGUUUAUUACAGCUAAUAAGAUAUCACUAAUUUUCAAGAUUCAAGAUAUCUAAGAUAUCAUAAAGCACUUAAAACAGAAACAAUUUGUCUUGCUUCUUUUGCAUGAAAGACAUGUGGCAACUAACUCUGGGGAUAUGGGAUGAAUAGGAACAUUUCCAUGACAUUGCUAUAACUUCUUUGUGUAUAAAUAUUGUUGCGUCCGCUCUUUUGGGAACGAGGAUCGAUUCGCUGGUUUUUCAACGUGAACGAAGUGUCGAGUUCUGGUGAGUCCUGAACAGCUGAAUACAUGUUUCCCGUGAUAACGAGUAAACGGGAGAAAACGGAGUCGUGCACGAGCCUCUGAGCCGAACUGACGUGUAGCAUAUCGGGGCGAUUUUGUGAGAUACGAUUAAUAGUACGAAAGUCUUGUAAAUAGCUUUCCAUUAAACACUUAAUUUUUUCAAUAAAUGUGUUUAUUUCUUUGCCCGAGCGCGAGUGAGCGCAAUAUUUUUGAGGCUCGUCCGGGACAGAAUCGAAAUCCCGAACGUGAUCCCGAAUGGUUUGGGAUCGAGCAGGAUUGAGCGAGAACGUGAGCGUGCUGGCGGAUUGAAAUUGAAAUCGCGAGUGAAGUAUUGCUACUGUGGGACAUGUCGACCAUGUAUACUCCAAAGAGGACGCGAGGACAGACCCUGAUGUUGAAGGAGCUGCACUCCUGCUCUCGGGCGACGGACGUCGAGAUGACCAGGGAGAAACGAAGGCUCCGAGGGUGACGCUGCAUACGGCGAUGGAGGAAGAAGCUGCGGGAUGUCGCGGAAGAAACAGUUCCGGCGACAGCAGUCUGAUACUGGAGGAGUUGUAGAGUCAACGGAACGACGAAACUAGGAAAGGCUUAACCAGGUUUGGUCGGAUAAUUAUGAGAAGACCGCCUUACUCAUGGUUUUUGACCGUGGUUUUUUCGUGGGACAUAGGGCGAAUGUUGGGGCGGGGACAAGGGAAAUUUCAGCAGAGAAUGUUGGGUCCACGAAUGUUACUCCUCCUCUUCUUGUCCGAAGAUUGGAGUCCGGGAGAUACAUGAAGUAGAGACAUUGGAGUUACAUCGACCUUCAAGAGGAUGGCUGUAAGAAAUCUGAAAAGAACGGUGCCUGGAGGGCAUAUACUGAAAGAAAAGUCUGUGUUCAGCAGCAGCUCAGGCUGGGGCAGGAAACCAUUUUAGUCUCCGAAAAGCAGCAUUGUGGAGGAAGAUCUCCAUUUCAAUUGCUUGUAACAAAAGCUCUUAUGGAAUAGUCUUUAAUCCCAGUGGCCUAGAUUGAGGAGUCAAAGUAUAAAAUAAAGAUGGCUUUUCGUUAUAUUUCCGCGUGUAUUAAAUAUAAAAUAUAAGAAAAGUUUUAUAUAAGUAGCUUAUUUUAUUUUUAGCUAUAUUAUACGUGAUCAAAGUUUCUAUCCUGUCAAACUUUAAUUACAAACAAAAAAGAGAUUCAGGCAGUGCUGUUAGAUAAGCUCUUUUCGUGAGCGCAUAUUAAAAAUAUCGGGAAGUAUAGAAAUAUAUAAUCGUGAACAGAAAGAUUGUUCGUAUUUUCGUAUAAAUUUUGAAAUGCAUCUAUUUUGUUCAAUAGAAGAAUUUAAGUACCGCUAAAGAAUAAAUAUAUUGAUUCUGAAUAGAUUCUUAUAAAUUCUUCAAAAAUUUGUAAAUAACUCUUUAGGAAUAUCCAUAUAGUAGCCACAAACACAAUACCUUUAAAUAAUUUAAUUAUAUACUCUAUUUACAUUCACGUUAUAUUCAGUACGCAUGCCCGAAAAAGGGACUCGUCUAAUGAUACUGGAUGAAAGUAUAAUUAAUCUUUGUAAUAAUUUUAAUAAAAUCAACAUUAUAAUGAAUUAAUACCGCAAAACUUGAAUUUAUUAAUUUUAACUUGCCUCUUGAUUGAAAAAGAUAACGUAUCUUUUUCUCAUGCAUCUUAAUGCUCAAAUAAUUAUAUCUUAUACAAA
Molecule: long non-coding RNA, 3468 nt
Organism: Odontomachus brunneus
Lineage: Eukaryota; Metazoa; Arthropoda; Insecta; Hymenoptera; Formicidae
Exons: 3
Source: RefSeq, a predicted model, not a curated record